AACGAACGCUGGCGGCAUGCCUAACACAUGCAAGUCGAACGAGACCUUCGGGUCUAGUGGCGCACGGGUGCGUAACGCGUGGGAACCUUCCCUUAGGUUCGGAAUAACUCCCCGAAAGGGGUGCUAAUACCGGAUAAUGUCUUCGGACCAAAGAUUUAUCGCCUUUGGAUGGGCCCGCGUUGGAUUAGCUAGUUGGUAGGGUAAAAGCCUACCAAGGCGACGAUCCAUAGCUGGUCUGAGAGGAUGAGCAGCCACACUGGGACUGAGACACGGCCCAGACUCCUACGGGAGGCAGCAGUGGGGAAUAUUGGACAAUGGGCGAAAGCCUGAUCCAGCAAUGCCGCGUGAGUGAUGAAGGCCUUAGGGUUGUAAAGCUCUUUUACCCGGGAUGAUAAUGACAGUACCGGGAGAAUAAGCUCCGGCUAACUCCGUG
Molecule: ribosomal RNA, 433 nt
Filed under: uncultured bacterium
Lineage: Bacteria
Description: partial 16S ribosomal RNA
Rfam family: Bacterial small subunit ribosomal RNA
Source: RNAcentral